UACGGGGGGGGGCAAGCGUUGUUCGGAAUUACUGGGCGUAAAGGGCGCGUAGGCGGCGUGACAAGUCACUUGUGAAAUCUCCGGGCUUAACUCGGAACGGUCAAGUGAUACUGUCGUGCUAGAGUACAGAAGGGGCAACUGGAAUUCUCGGUGUAGCGGUGAAAUGCGUAGAUAUCGAGAGGAACACCUGCGGCGAAGGCGGGUUGCUGGGCUGAUACUGACGCUGAGGCGCGAAAGCUAGGGGGAGCGAACGGG
This 255-nucleotide ribosomal RNA is filed under the name uncultured bacterium. Its description in RNAcentral is "partial 16S ribosomal RNA". It matches the Rfam family "Bacterial small subunit ribosomal RNA", at positions 524 to 776 of the family's 1533-position model. The record is from RNAcentral.